AACAUCGCCUCUUGAACCCUUAUAAGAGGUCCAGCCUGCCCAGUGACUCUGUUCAACGGCCGCGGUAUCCUAACCGUGCGAAGGUAGCGUAAUCACUUGUUCUUUAAAUGUGGACUAGUAUGAAUGGCAUCACGAAGGUUAUACUGUCUCCUUUUUCUAAUCAGUGAAACUAAUCUCCCCGUGAAGAAGCGAGGAUAAAACUAUAAGACGAGAAGACCCUAUGGAGCUUUAAACAUUUAUAACACUUGCUAAAUAAAAUACAAAUUUCAGAAUUAUUUACUCUUUAAGCAACUUGUCUAUAAGUUUUUGGUUGGGGUGACCGCGGAGCAUAAUACAACCUCCAUGUUGAAAGAUCUAUUUCUAAGCUAAGAGCUACACCUCUAAGCAUCAACAUAUUGACAUCCAUUGACCCAAUAUAUUUGAACAACGAACCAAGUUACCCUAGGGAUAACAGCGCAAUCCACUUCAAGAGCUCCUAUCGACAAGUGGGUUUACGACCUCGAUGUUGGAUCAGGGUUUCCCAGUGGUGCAGCCGCUACUAAAGGUUCGUUUGUUCAACGAUUAAAACC
Molecule: ribosomal RNA, 569 nt
Rfam family: Bacterial large subunit ribosomal RNA